GCGGUCGUGGCGGAAUUGGCAGACGCGCUACUUUGAGGGGGUAGUGUUCACAAGACGUGUGGGUUCAAGUCCCACCGACCGCACCA
Molecule: transfer RNA, 86 nt
Filed under: Centipeda dianae
Lineage: Bacteria; Bacillati; Bacillota; Negativicutes; Selenomonadales; Selenomonadaceae
Also listed under: 13 other names
Description: Selenomonas dianae tRNA-Leu
Rfam family: tRNA
About the family: Transfer RNA (tRNA) molecules are approximately 80 nucleotides in length. Their secondary structure includes four short double-helical elements and three loops (D, anti-codon, and T loops). Further hydrogen bonds mediate the characteristic L-shaped molecular structure. tRNAs have two regions of fundamental functional importance: the anti-codon, which is responsible for specific mRNA codon recognition, and the 3' end, to which the tRNAs corresponding amino acid is attached (by aminoacyl-tRNA synthetases). tRNAs cope with the degeneracy of the genetic code in two manners: having more than one tRNA (with a specific anti-codon) for a particular amino acid; and 'wobble' base-pairing, i.e. permitting non-standard base-pairing at the 3rd anti-codon position.
Source: RNAcentral